UACGUAGGGACCGAGCGUUGUCCGGAUUCAUUGGGCGUAAAGAGCUCGUAGGCGGCCACUCAAGUCGAAUGUGAAACCUCGAGGCUUAACCUCGAGCCUGCAUUCGAUACUGGGCGGCUAGAGUCUGGUAGGGGGAUCUGGAAUUCCUGGUGUAGCGGUGGAAUGCGCAGAUAUCAGGAGGAACACCGAUGGCGAAGGCAGUGUUCUGGGCCAGUACUGACGCUGAGGAGCGAAAGCGUGGGGAGCAAACAGG
Molecule: ribosomal RNA, 253 nt
Filed under: uncultured bacterium
Lineage: Bacteria
Description: partial 16S ribosomal RNA
Rfam family: Bacterial small subunit ribosomal RNA
Source: RNAcentral